UUUAGCAAAUCCCNGAAAUAAGUCCCAGUUCGGAUUGUAGUCUGCAACCCGACCUACAUGAAGCUGGAAUCGCUAGUAAUCGCGAAUCAGAAUGUCGCGGUGAAUACGUUCCCGGGUCUUGUACACACCGCCCGUCACACCAUGGGAGUCGGAAAUGCCCGAAGUCAGUGACCUAACCGAAAGGGAGGAGCUGCCGAAGGUGGAGCCGGUAACUGGGGUGAAGUCGUAACAAGGUACC
Molecule: ribosomal RNA, 238 nt
Filed under: uncultured bacterium
Lineage: Bacteria
Description: partial 16S ribosomal RNA
Rfam family: Bacterial small subunit ribosomal RNA
Source: RNAcentral